UCGGUAUCACGAUCUCUAUUUCCUUUACUGAUGCAGAGUUGAGGGCCAGAGUUUACCCCGACAGUGUGAGAGCUGGAGACAACGUUACUCUCAAAUGUCAAACGUCCUGCCAGUUUCCCAGCACAGUUUGGUUUAAAGGUGAACUUCCUGUAGCCAACUCAGAGUUCCAGGCUCAAGCAGAGGAUGCUGGGAAUUAUUGUUGUGCUGCCAAAGGACAGGAGUCCAUUCCAUCUGAACCUGUGGCUCUGAAAGUACAGUAUCCCCCGUUGAUUGUAUCUGUGGGGUGAGUUAUUCGGACCACCUGACAGAAGUGUGAAUGUGAGCUGCAACAGUGCUGCUGACCCUCCUGCAGACAACUACACCUGGUACAGGACCUCUGCUUCUGGCUCCAGCUCCUGGUUUCCCCUCCCGCUGGGAUCAGGACCGGUGCUGUCUCUCUCCUCACGCUGGACUGGUGGCAGAGAAGCACCAAUGAUCAUGACAACAUCGGCACUGACUAAAUGGGCGAAAUAAGGUGGUUAUACAGAAUGAAAUACUGGAAGCUGACCUCUGCCUGAGCCUGGCAACGAUUCAUUAGCCUGCAGUUCAUUUCUAUCUUUGCUGUCUGCAGCUCAAGGUACAAACCGACCGCGACCUCCUUUCCUUGCAAAGGUUCAGUCCUUCUAACGCCACUGGAGACAUCACCAAGAAAACAGAACUUAAUUUCAAUGAAUGAAGGCAAAAUGUGCAAAAUGUCUCUCAAUAAAUACCUUUUCAUCAUGAA
Long non-coding RNA from Gasterosteus aculeatus aculeatus (three-spined stickleback), 763 nucleotides. The record is from Ensembl. Lineage: Eukaryota; Metazoa; Chordata; Actinopteri; Perciformes; Gasterosteidae.